CCUGGUGAUCAUAGCGUUGUGGCACCACCCGUUCCCAUCCCGAACACGGAAGUGAAACGCAACCGCGCCGAUGGUAGUGUGAUUUUGUCAUGCGAGAGUAGGUCAUCGCCAGGG
RNAcentral lists this ribosomal RNA (114 nucleotides) under Arenimonas sp. Lineage: Bacteria; Pseudomonadati; Pseudomonadota; Gammaproteobacteria; Lysobacterales; Lysobacteraceae. The record is from RNAcentral.